Long non-coding RNA from Esox lucius (northern pike), 2528 nucleotides. RefSeq annotates it as CD209 antigen-like protein E. The transcript has 5 exons. NCBI's taxonomy places the organism in Eukaryota, Metazoa, Chordata, Actinopteri, Esociformes, Esocidae. The record is from RefSeq and is a predicted model, not a curated record.
AAAGACAUGUUUUGCCUGCUCACUCAAGGCGAUGCAAACUUUUGAGCGCAACUGUGUGUAUACACAGGAAGUCAAUGUGAGCCAACACGUCAGAGAAAACACUGGCUCAGAUUGUCUUAUUCAUGGUCUGGCCAGAGAUGUUGCUGGAACGUGGCGGCACAAGGAAAUCCCCCAUGCCGAUUACCCAUCUUUUCUAUGGUGUUUAGAGUCAGUAUUAUUAGUUUACCCGUUUGAGGGCAACCACCCAUGGGGUCUUUUUGUUUUGGGUAAUGUAACAGAAGUAAUUGAUUGAUAACUUGUGAUUUGGGGGCUGAGCAAAUCCUAGACUCGCCCCCUGGUGGCAAAUACUGGGGAACCAUUGUCUUAUUCCUUUGAUGCGCUUGCGUAAAAGUUUUUCACUGUGACUUUUACAACUGUUUUAGUUAAGAUGUGAUCUGUCACGCAAAUUCAUACUCGAUUGGCAAAAUCUUUAUUGUGAUUAGGUAUACAACGACCGAUGGCCUAGUGGUCCACUUGGGUACCUUCAAACCACGGCACUGGUGAGAAUGUCCCCAUGGUCCUAAAGCUAGCCCGCGGGGGUGCCUAGUUGGUUUGGACAUUCUGACGUAUUCAAAAUGUGAAUGAUUUGAGGAGCAUUUUAAUUGUUUUGCUGUUGACCCAGUAGAUGUUCCUAUUAGUCAUUAUUUGAUAACUAGAUCAGAGCUCUGGUCUCAAUCGCCCUAUUGUUAUUCAAUAGCCUGGUCAACUUUCCUCAAAAAGUCACUGCUUCUUUGUCUCUGUGUGUCUGUUGCUGCUAAUGUUGUCAUUGUCACAAAAUGAUCUUGUUUAUCCAUUAUGUUCUUCUAGUUGUGGUAAUUUUGUAGACGAUGGGACGAGGCUGUGGUGGAGAAGAAACCAUCUAUGAUUUUCCAGGUGACGAACAAGGAACCCAGCCUUUAGGUUCAAGGUGUAUCAAACUGGCUGUAUUCCUGCUGAUAGCAUUAUCAGGAAUACUUACAGUUUUCAUUAGACUGUAUAUUAAUGAAAACCAUCAGUUAAAAAAGGUCACAGCACUGACGGCACCUCUGUUAAAUGACGGAUCUGAGGCGAAAGAAGGACUUCUGAAGAGAAUUUCAGACCUUGAAAAUGCCAGUUCGGAAGGAUGGAGGUACUUCAACAACAGUUUCUACUACCUUUCUGAUGAUGCCUACUCCUGGCACCAGAGCAGGCAGUUCUGUCUGGAUAGAGGAGCACACCUGGUGAUCGUGAACAGCAGAGAGGAGCAGGAUUUUCUGAUUAAAGUGGUGAAAGAGAACAGAGGGGAUGGAGUCUGGAUUGGUUUGAGCAAUGUCGAUGGAGACAACCGAUCCACAUGGGCCCCGAACGCUGUGGAGUCAGACACUGCAGUGUCACCACCUCUGAAGAAAGGCUGUGUCAAACUACAAGUCUAUGAUAACCCUCUAGUAAGGGAAGUCAGUGGGGGGAAAUGUGAGGUACAAAAAUACUGCAUUUGUCAAAAGCUCAUGACAGUGUAAAACCUGAUGGCGAGGGAGGAAGGAAACCCAGGCCAAACCUGAAAUAUAUUUUUAUUUUACACGAGUCCUCGUACAGAGGUUUCCUCCUGAGUCACUGUGGAAGGGACUUCCCACCAAACGACCAGAAGUCACACGGAAGAUUCACAGGGUCUACUAAUAUGGUAUACAUCUAACCCACCGUAUUAAAUUUAUCAAAAUUGAAAUCCCAAAACGCAAACAAAAUAUUUGUCAUGUUCAAAUACUUCCAUAGCUACAAAGUUCCAUCCCACAUUACCUGUCUUCAUGCCACUAGACUCAGAAAUGAAAUGUCCAACCAGGACGGCGACUGAAACCGCACCUAGAUCUUCAGCACAGAUCGCCAUCUUGUGGCCUGAAAGUAAAUCUCAGUAAUUCCCCCCCAAAUAUCCAGAUUCAAGGACCAAGCAAAUCAAUUCUACAUACACUGUUGCCCAAACCAAUAAAGACACUUUGCGUUCUGAAUUCUAAAAAAUUAUCCUAAAAAAAACCUGAAUUGAAGCAUGCACAGUGGUAUUUGGACUAUAUUCAAUAAUUAUCUACAUUUUAAAAAGCUGUUAUUAUCUAGAAUCCACUGACCACUGUUGCAUUCACCAGUUUUUCUAUUAUUUGUUUUUCUAUUCCUUUCAGCUCUGGUAAGGUAGCACAACCAGCUAUCUUUACUAACUGCAUGCUACUUUUCUAAGCACAUCUCUUAUUUGUUUUACAUAUUUAGCUUUAUUUGCACAAGCCUUUAAAUUAAGAAGCAAGGGGUAGAGAGAGACAUAAUUUAACUUCCAGACACUUUUGUGUUUUUUCUUGUAAAUAAGCAUGUUUCUGUAUCACUUGCUGGCUGUCUUUUUCUUUCGUCUGAUAGUCAUUUUUUGCAUGUCAAGGGAUGUUGUCAAAAGCUCUGACACUCAAUCCAAUGUCCAACGUCAUCCUUGAGUUCACUGUGCGGUGCUGCAUGUGCUCUUUAAGACUCUUGUCCUGUCCUCUGUCUGUGAUAAUGCCCUUAUG